This 5258-nucleotide long non-coding RNA is filed under the name Medicago truncatula (barrel medic). RNAcentral's name for it is "lncRNA gene24612". Lineage: Eukaryota; Viridiplantae; Streptophyta; Magnoliopsida; Fabales; Fabaceae. The record is from RNAcentral.
UUUUUUCUUGCGAGAAAUCAUUCAUACACAACAAACAAGGUGUUCAAAUUGCAUGAAUAAUGAUAACAGGAUGGGUCGGGAAAAAUUGAAAUUGAAAUCAAACUACAAUAGACAGGCAAAAAAAACAUAUAGAAGCAUUAGUAUAUCAUCAUCACCAUCAUACUGUAAAAGCUUAAAAGUGAACGGUAUACAGGUUCUGAUAUCUUGACUAAAUACAAAAUCAUGUCAUACACCUGAUAGCUUUCCUCAUCAUCAUCAUCAUAUAAUAAUCACAAGAAAGUCAAAAUAACCAGAUAAAUGUCUCCGAGAGUGGCGUUUAUUUAUUCUUAAGGACAAUUGGGAGGACAAUUAUGAGGAUCAGAGCUAUCAAAAUUGCCAAUACAAUCAGCUUUAUCUUCAUAUUUUGCAGCCACAUUUUUCUGCGGAUUUUGGUCCCUGAGUUCCUGAAGUCUUGUGCCUGCCUCAGAAAACAGCAAGUUAGAAAACAUUUCGAGUUAAAAAAAAAACAGGCAAUGGUUUUUUUAAUAACCCCACCCCAACCCAUCUUUUGUGUGGGAUGGAGAGGAAGGAGUAGAUCUUAUCAUGACACUCGGUGUGCCAACAAUUAUCAUAAAAAAUGCAACUAGAAACAAUAGUUGUUCACAUGAAAAAAAAACUAAGUACUGAUGCUUUAGUUCAACACCUUCCAAUGAAUUACCAACCUGGUGAUGAAGGUUCUCAGUCUUGUCAACCAAAAGCUCUAUCUUUUCCCCCCUGUCCAGGACCUACAUUAAGUUUCAAACAUGUCAAUAUAAUCUAACAGAAUGUCCACGAUUAUGAGACAUCUAAUCAUGAUUGCAGCCCAAAACUUGGACUACUUUUCUUCUGAUAUGUACAAUCGCUGUGAUAUCUCCUUUUCAAUACCAUAUAUAUGGUAUAAUUAAUAGACAGAAAUCCACUCCUUCAAUAUGCGAUUGAAAAGCACAAAAUUGUAAUUGUCAUGUCUACAAGAAUCAAGAGUAAAUACUUGCUAGUUGUAGAAUAGUUGAAUACUACAGUUAAAUCUUGGUUUUCUACGUAAUUUAAUUUUGGCCCAGUGAAGGAACUUAGCUUCAAAUAAUCAGUGAGCAAAGCACAACUCAAGCAAUCACAACUCAAGCCAUGUGCAAUAGAAAUAUAAGUAACAUCUUCUAUUAUGAAAGAAGAGAAAGUGUGCUUUCAAAACAUCCAUAAAUAUAUCCAGAUCAAAACAUCUUCUAAUAUGGUUUUCAACAAGAAAAAAAUCAUGAGAAGUCGGCGAACAUUGUUUUCGACCAUUUAACUGGUAACUAGAUUUAGUUUCAAGCCAGCGAUAGCCUGAGGAAACUUACGGAUAGAUGAAUUUUUUUCCACAAGACAUCCUUAUUGAACCAUAUUUUCUGAAUCAAACUCAAUUUAUUGCACCCUAUGGGAUAUGGCUAUAUACGAAAGCAUUGAAUCAAUUUGAUCAAACUUUCAAUAUGGAAUUCAGAGGCAUCAAAUAGGAAGUGAUAAUCGAAGCAUGGAACCACAACGGAAUACACGAUAAACCAAAAGAUGGUAGGUCCCCAUCAACAGCACUUGAACGAGAUAGAAUUAGAAGGUCCCCUUGCCUAACUCCUUGUUAUGCCCAUAAAAGCAAGCCUUAGGCUCACCAUGCAAAAUAACAAAAUAUUUGGCCAGAAGGGGAAUCCACUUUCUCCAUUUAGAACCAAAGUACUGCCUGCCAAGAAACUUAUAUAACCCUGACUCCCCCUAUGCUUCCUUAAAAUCCAACCUAAAAACUAAGUUAUAUCCUUUUUUUUCCUGGAGUAACAUCAUCCACUACUUCAUUAGGUAUUAAAAUAGCAGUCUAAUGUUUGUUUCAUGCAAUCAAAGAAAUAUGGUUGUUCAAGAUGAAUUUUGAUAUAAUAGAUUCUUUAUACUAAAACACCGACAAAAAUAGACAACGUGGGAAAUGGGUUCAAUCUGAAAAGAGGAAUGCAAACUUAGUCGGUUCCAUUUUUUUUGCUCCUCUUGAACCCUAGUCCUUGUGAACCUUUUCCCAAAUUAGGUGGCCACCCAAUUGAACAUAAAAAAAAAAAAAAAAAAAAAAAAAUCCAAUUUUUUGUUGUUAUAUUUAAUAAAAUGUCAUGAUUACACAAGAACCCUCAUUUAAUUGCAACUUUUGGUUUGUGUAAAGAAAGCUGCAAGUCUGACUAAAACAUACUCAAUGCCUAAGCUGGGUCACACACUCCCACUAUCAGCUUAUGUAGUAACUAAUACAAAAAAACAUAAUACAAAAGUAACCAAGCAAACUCAUAAGUCAUGAUACUGUGUGGCAAAUAAACAAAUGAGAAUAUACUAAUUCAGCCUAACUAUCCCAUGUUGUUUGUGGACAUUGAACAAUACUUUGAUGUGAUGUGUAAUAUAUUAUAUAAAAUAAUAUAAUGCUUUAAGAUAAUAUCUUUCUUCCACUUAAACUUUGAGGCCCCCAAAAAUGACUGUCUCAAGCCUAUGUUUCAGAAGUACAAUAGCAGAAAAAAAUUAUAGUAAAAUGACGUGCUGAUAGAAUGAGCAAGUGACUCUAUGAAGCCUACAUAGCAGAAGAAUGAAAACAGAGUACUGGAAUGCAUACAAAUGCGAGUGCAGAAUGAAUGGGGGACUAUGUGUAGCCUUUGUUUUAGAAUUAUGAGAUCAGAGUGAUUGAAUAAUCAAUAUAGCACAUGUUCAAUCAAGUAAUGAUAAAGUGGUUUCGUGGGAGGAACACAAGGGAUAGAGAGAUAAGGAGAUGUAGUGUAGGUUUAACUCCCUCCCACUAAUAUUUCUAACCAAGGUAAUUAUCAUAACUAAAACGGCCGGUUCGACAAGUUGAACCAAGAGCCGGAAUUGUGCUUGGUGCGAUUAGACGUUAAAAUUUGCUGGCAUAAGAACCGGACUACAAGUUCGUAAACCAGUAUAAAAAUUUCUAAAACUGGUCAAAACCUGUGGUUGACCAGUUAUUGUAGUUAACAAACCAUGCACGCUCAGAAAUGAAAAUGGAUUGACUGGAUAAUGGCUCACAGCUGCAUUUUAUACGGAUUUGAGAUGUUCAUGUAUAUUUUUUUUCUUAUCUCUUUGAAGUGGGACUCCAGCAGUUUCUUUUUAUAUUCGUUUGUGUUACUUCAGUUUUGUGUACUGACUAGGAAACUUACGUUUUCCAUUCCAAGGUUUGACUGUUAAUGGGCAUAUAAUAAUAAAUAAUAAUAAUAAUAAUAAUAAUAAUACAUAGAUAUAACAAGUGUUAAAGAGAGACAAAAUGAAAGAAAAAAGAGAUGCAAUGAUGAUAUGAUAUUACUAUUAAAUAUCACUUCAUCCAUCCCACAAUUACUAUCGUAUUUGACCAUUUCACACAAAUGAAGAAAAAUGAUAAAUGAAAGAAAUAGAAUUGUCAAAGAACAUUAUGACGUCGUUUGAUCCAUGUAGCCAAUCACACUUAAUGGGAUAUGGCUUGAUUGUUGUUGUGCAUCACUCCCAAGUUAUUAUUUUCUACUUUUCAUUUAUGAUAAUUGUGAUUUUACUAAAUUAUUAUUAUUAUUAACCAUUGAUGUAUUUUCAUUAUCAUAAAUGAAAAGUAGAAAAUAAUAACUUGGGAGUGAUGCACAUUGUAUUAGUUAGAUGGUACAAUUGGAAAAAUUCAAUUAAAACUACAUUGAAAAUUGAAAGUGACACUCUUCUAAGACGACUUUUUUUUUUUGCAAAUGUGAUAAUUAUUAUGAGACAAAGGGGGUAAUAUAUUAUUGUCAUAAACAAGUUUAUGAAAGUAUAUUUAUACUGUCCAAAAAUAUAAAAAAUGAUAUACAUGAAUAUAAAAAACUAUACUAAUGUAUAAUUUUAACAAACAGCAAGAUCCUUUCAAAAAUAAAAAGUGUAAUUUUAUAUAAUAAAUACUAUAUUGGGUUAAAGAUGCGUUUGAUAUUUUGUAAAAUGAGCAAAUUUUGAUUUUGGUCAAUGUAUAAAAAUUUCUUCAAUUUUAAUCCUUUCAAACUUUGAAAGUUUUGCUUUUGGUCUCUAUAAAACGAGUGAAUUUUGGUUUAGGUCCAUGUGAUUUUUAUCCCUCUAACAAUCAUUGUUUCUUGGUACUUGGCUAUUACUUUUGGAAAGAAAAAUACAAUUCAUUUUACAGCUCAAAGAAAGGUUUUUCAUGUAGUAAACUGCUAACAUGACACCACAACCAUUGUUGGGUAUCAUUAGGGAUGGCCAAAUGAACCUUUAUUAACUUAUAAGCAGUUAACCAAUGAUGUAUAAUGGCAGGGACCAAAAACAUCAUUUUCAAAUUUUGGUGGGAUGAAAAGCGAAGAAAAGUUUCCUCAUUUUACAAUAACUAAAAAUAAAUUUAAUCCUAAUAUAUAUAUCUUACACGUGCAAUGAUAUACCAAAAAAGUAAGAAUUUAGAUAUACUUAUUUUGUCAUUAUUGUAAAAUAAUUCACUAUAUCAAUGUCUAUUUAUAGUCAUACUAAUUAAUUAAAGAAAAUAGAACAGAAAAACCAAGAUUCCAUACGUAACCCAAAACAAGCCAGACGUUUGAGUUUUAGAAAACUUUCCCUCCCCUCUUUUGUCUCUCCAAACACUCAGUUUAAUUACUUUCAAAUGUAACCUACCGAAUUGUGCAGUAUGAAUCACAACUUGUGAGAGUCUAACUCUUGCAAAAUGGAUGAAUUUCAUAAAAUACUGGCCAGACUAACUUCAUGGUCUCACUUAUGAGGUUUAGUAUUCGUAUAUAAAGGUUUUCUCAAAAAUUCACUCUAUGUGUUAUGCAGUAUUUUCUAUUUUUGUAAAAAUUUAAACAAUCAAAUAUAUACAUUCUUCCUACAAAAUACGAUUCUUAAAUCACAAAGCAGUUAAAUCCAUUCGGCUCACAUCAUACAAUCCUCUUAAGUAAAAGUAAGAUAAGUAUACCUUUUCAAUGUUCUCCAUCAUGACACCUUUCACUUCAGACACCUGAGCUUUCACCUUAGCAAGCUUACUCACCUCCUCCGGGUGAUCAACACAAUACUGCAUAUGUUCCUUCAAUUUUGGCCUGCAACCAUUAAACAUCAAAUCACAAACUUCCCUUCAACAACAAACCAUCAACCUCACACAAAACAUAAAACUCAUUACCCAAAUUCCUUAUUCAAGCUGUUAGGUGCAGCUGUAGACGCCUUCCCACCACCAUAUUUCGCAACAAAAUCAUCCUUCACACGCUCCAGAAAAGCCACCGGCACUUGUCUUCCAACAGUUUCAUCCGCAACAACACAAUACG